UCAGGGGGCCUGAGGCAGCCGCGUGACCUUCGGGUCGCGAGGAAAGUCCGGGCUCCACGAAACGAGGGUGGCGGGUAACGCCCGCCGGUCCCGCCUUCGGGCGGGGCAAGGGAAAGUGCCACAGAGAGCAGACCGCCGAUGGCCCGCCAUCCUUCGGGAGCGCGGGCACAGGCAAGGGUGAAAGGGUGCGGCAAGAGCGCACCGGGGGGCCGGCAACGGCAACCGCAUGGCAAACCCCACCCGGAGCAAGGCCGAAUAGGGGUCUCGCGCCUUCCGCAAGGAGGCAGGCGUGUUUCGCGCCGAGAGACCCGGGUUGGCUGCUAGAGCCGUCGAGCGAUCGUCGGCCCAGAUGAAUGGCUGCCGCCGCGGGGCCGGUCCGUCAGGAUACCGCCCGCGGAGACAGAACCCGGCUUAUGACGGCCUCCUGACGUU
Molecule: RNase P RNA, 432 nt
Filed under: Porphyrobacter sp. CACIAM 03H1
Lineage: Bacteria; Pseudomonadati; Pseudomonadota; Alphaproteobacteria; Sphingomonadales; Erythrobacteraceae
Description: RNase P RNA component class A
Rfam family: Bacterial RNase P class A
About the family: Ribonuclease P (RNase P) is a ubiquitous endoribonuclease, found in archaea, bacteria and eukarya as well as chloroplasts and mitochondria. Its best characterised activity is the generation of mature 5'-ends of tRNAs by cleaving the 5'-leader elements of precursor-tRNAs.
Source: RNAcentral